GUUGCUUCUUACUGGUGAACUCUCUCUGAUAAUUAAUGUGAGAUGUUCAUGUUUCCGAAGCAUAGAUUAAAAAAUCUUUGCCAGUUUUAAACAGCUCUGCGUAUUCUUGCGCAGUUGCUACCUGUCUCCUGGUAUAUUU
This is a small nucleolar RNA of Mangifera indica (mango), 139 nucleotides long. RefSeq annotates it as small nucleolar RNA snoR137. The transcript has a single exon. The record is from RefSeq and is a predicted model, not a curated record. Lineage: Eukaryota; Viridiplantae; Streptophyta; Magnoliopsida; Sapindales; Anacardiaceae.